AGUGAACGCUGGCGGUAGGCCUAACACAUGCAAGUCGAACGGCAGCACAGUAAGAGCUUGCUCUUACGGGUGGCGAGUGGCGGACGGGUGAGGAAUACAUCGGAAUCUACUUUUUCGUGGGGGAUAACGUAGGGAAACUUACGCUAAUACCACAUACGACCUACGGGUGAAAGCAGGGGAUCUUCGGACCUUGCGCGAUUGAAUGAGCCGAUGUCGGAUUAGCUAGUUGGCGGGGUAAAGGCCCACCAAGGCGACGAUCCGUAGCUGGUCUGAGAGGAUGAUCAGCCACACUGGAACUGAGAAACGGUCCAGACUCCUACGGGAGGCAGCGGUGGGGAAUAUUGGACAAUGGGCGCAAGCCUGAUCCAGCCAUACCGCGUGGGUGAAGAAGGCCUUCGGGUUGUAAAGCCCUUUUGUUGGGAAAGAAAAGCAGCAGGUUAAUACCCCGCUGUUCUGACGGUACCCAAAGAAUAAGCACCGGCUAACUUCGUG
RNAcentral lists this ribosomal RNA (492 nucleotides) under uncultured bacterium. RNAcentral describes it as "partial 16S ribosomal RNA". It matches the Rfam family "Bacterial small subunit ribosomal RNA", at positions 29 to 507 of the family's 1533-position model. The record is from RNAcentral.